CCUACGGGUGGCAGCAGUGGGGAAUAUUGGACAAUGGGCGAAAGCCUGAUCCAGCCAUGCCGCGUGUGUGAAGAAGGCCUUCGGGUUGUAAAGCACUUUCAGUGGGGAAGAAAGCCUUGGGGCUAAUACCCUCGAGGAAGGACAUCACCCACAGAAGAAGCACCGGCUAACUCCGUGCCAGCAGCCGCGGUAAUACGGAGGGUGCGAGCGUUAAUCGGAAUUACUGGGCGUAAAGCGCGCGUAGGCGGUCUGAUAAGCCGGUUGUGAAAGCCCCGGGCUCAACCUGGGAACAGCAUCCGGAACUGUCAGGCUAGAGUGCAGGAGAGGAAGGUAGAAUUCCCGGUGUAGCGGUGAAAUGCGUAGAGAUCGGGAGGAAUACCAGUGGCGAAGGCGGCCUUCUGGACUGACACUGACGCUGAGGUGCGAAAGCGUGGGUAGCAAACAGGAUUAAUACCCUGGUAGUC
Molecule: ribosomal RNA, 464 nt
Filed under: Vreelandella stevensii
Lineage: Bacteria; Pseudomonadati; Pseudomonadota; Gammaproteobacteria; Oceanospirillales; Halomonadaceae
Description: partial 16S ribosomal RNA
Rfam family: Bacterial small subunit ribosomal RNA
Source: RNAcentral